CAACCUAAAAGGAUUUAAUUAUUAUAAGUCCGAGUUAAAAAUUUAGACUUAUACAUUAUCCCCGGAAAAAAGGGAUACUUCACAUAAACUUCUAUACGCAAAUCAUCAUCUUUUUUCUGCUUUCAAAUAUAAUAUCGUCAUGCUGCCAUUAUUAUCUUGCUUUGUCACUUCUGGUUGCAUCUUGUAGGAGCAAGUAUCAAAGGGCAAUGACCUGGAUC
RNAcentral lists this long non-coding RNA (218 nucleotides) under Elaeis guineensis (African oil palm). RNAcentral's name for it is "long non-coding RNA (EGUI_LNC017945)". The record is from RNAcentral. Lineage: Eukaryota; Viridiplantae; Streptophyta; Magnoliopsida; Arecales; Arecaceae.